CCUACGGGAGGCUGCAGUGGGGAAUAUUGGGCAAUGGGCGCAAGCCUGACCCAGCAACGCCGCGUGAAGGAAGAAGGCUUUCGGGUUGUAAACUUCUUUUAUCAGGGACGAAGCAAGUGACGUUCCCCUUGGAUUAAGCCACGCCUAAAUCCGUGCCAGCAGCCGGGGUAAUACGGAGGUGCCAAGCGUUUUCCGGAUUUACUGGGUGUAAAGGGCGUGUAGGCGGGACGACAAGUAAGAUGUGAAAACCACGGGCUCAACCUGUGACCUGCAUUUGAACCUGUAGUUCUUGAGUGCUGGAGAGGCAGACGGAAUUCCUAGGGUAGCGGUGAAAUGCGUAGAUAUUAGGAGGAACACCAGUGGCGAAGGCGGUCUGCUGGACGGCAACUGACGCUGAGGCGCAAAAGCGUGGGGAGCAAACAGGAUUAGAUACCCUGGUAGUC
This 443-nucleotide ribosomal RNA is filed under the name uncultured bacterium. RNAcentral's name for it is "partial 16S ribosomal RNA". It matches the Rfam family "Bacterial small subunit ribosomal RNA", at positions 338 to 795 of the family's 1533-position model. The record is from RNAcentral.